CAUUACAGUUACAGUUUUUGUAACUACAGCGUCACACCCCUAAAGAACGUGGAGUGAAAUUACGAGAGCUGCCCAAGAUAGUUCUACACUGGACGUUCUGCCCCACCUGGGGAACAAAACUUUAAUGGGCUGGUUUUAGAUAGUAGCGGCAAAAACUACCUUGGAAAACGCCCCGUUGUGGAAGGGCGGACGACGAGGUGAUACAGGUGGAAUUUCGUAACCGGCUACGUCCGAUGAUGAAAGUCAGCUGUUGGUUUAUCCGAUCUACUCUGAACACUACGUUUAUAAAGGUUUAAAAUUUAUAUAAUAAAUGUUCAAAUUAAACGCCGCGUCGAUUAACCAUAGUGCGGUAUACCCGGGUUUUAUACAUUAAAGGAA
This is a long non-coding RNA of Pieris brassicae (large cabbage white), 378 nucleotides long. RefSeq lists it as uncharacterized. The transcript is spliced from 3 exons. The record is from RefSeq and is a predicted model, not a curated record. Lineage: Eukaryota; Metazoa; Arthropoda; Insecta; Lepidoptera; Pieridae.